This 404-nucleotide ribosomal RNA is filed under the name uncultured bacterium. RNAcentral's name for it is "bacterial SSU rRNA". It matches the Rfam family "Bacterial small subunit ribosomal RNA", at positions 356 to 774 of the family's 1533-position model. The record is from RNAcentral.
GGGGAAUAUUGGGCAAUGGGCGAAAGCCUGACCCAGCAACGCCGCGUGAGGGAAGAAGGUUUUCGGAUUGUAAACCUCUGUCGCAGAUGACGAAGAAAGUGACGGUAAUCUGUGAGGAAGCCCCGGCUAACUACGUGCCAGCAGCCGCGGUAAUACGUAGGGGGCGAGCGUUGUCCGGAAUUACUGGGCGUAAAGGGUGCGUAGGCGGUUCUUUAAGUUGGAUGUGAAAUACCCGGGCUUAACCUGGGGGGUGCAUUCAAGACUGGGGAACUAGAGUUCAGGAGAGGGAAGCGGAAUUCCUAGUGUAGCGGUGAAAUGCGUAGAUAUCAGGAGGAACACCGGCGCUGUAGACGGCUUGCUAGACCAUAACUGACGCUGAGGCACGAAAGCGUGGGUAGCAAACA